CCGGCGACCGGCGCACGGGUGAGUAACGCGUAUGCGACCUGCCCCCCGCAGGGGGAUAACCGGGAGAAAUCCCGACUAAUACCGCGUAACGCCGCGGACCUGCAUGGUCUGCGGCCAAAGGAAGCGAUUCCGGCGGGGGAUGGGCAUGCGGCGCAUUAGCUAGUCGGCGGGGUAACGGCCCACCGAGGCGACGAUGCGUAGGGGUUCUGAGAGGAAGGUCCCCCACACUGGUACUGAGACACGGACCAGACUCCUACGGGAGGCAGCAG
This 269-nucleotide ribosomal RNA is filed under the name uncultured bacterium. RNAcentral describes it as "partial 16S ribosomal RNA". It matches the Rfam family "Bacterial small subunit ribosomal RNA", at positions 88 to 354 of the family's 1533-position model. The record is from RNAcentral.